GUUCGAUUAUGGCUCAGAUUGAACGCUGGCGGGAUGCUUUACACAUGCAAGCCGAACGGCAGCACGGACUUCGGUCUGGUGGCGAGUGGCGAACGUAAGUGAGUACGUAUUUCCGGAACGUGCCUAUAGCGGGGAUAACUACGCGAAAGCGUAUUACCGCAUACGCCCUUCGGGGAAAGCGGGGGACCUUCGCCUCGCACUAUUAGAGCGGCCGAUAUCGGAUUAGCUAGUUGGUGGGGUAACGGCUCACCAAGGCGACGAUCCGUAGUUGGUUUGAGUGAUCGACCAGCCACACUGGGACCGAGACACGGCCCAGACUCCUACGGGAGGCAGCAGUGGGAAUUUUGGACAAUGGGGAAACCUCGAUCCAGCCAUCCCGCGUGUGCGAUGAAGGCCUCUGCUAAAGCACUUGGCAGGAAAGCUGAAACGGCACGGGAUAAUACUCCCGUGCAACUGACGGUACCUGCAGAAUAAGCACCGGCUAACUACGUGCCAGCAGCCGCGGUAAUACGUAGGGUGCAAGCGCUAAUCGGAAUUACUGGGCGUAAAGCGUGCGCAGGCGGUUCGGAAAGAAAGAUGUGAAAUCCUGCAGAGCUUAACUUUGGAACUGCAUUUUUAACUACCGAGCUAGAGGCCAGAGGGAGGUGGAAUUCCGCGUGUAGCAGUGAAAUGUGUAGAUAUGCGGAGGAACACCGAUGGCGAGGCAGCCUGGGAUAACACUGACGCUCAUGCACGAAAGCGUGGGGAGCAAACAGGAUUAGAUACCCUGGUAGUCCACGCCCUAAACGAUGUCAACUAGCUGUUGGGGCCUUUCGCCUUGGUAGCGCAGCUAACGCGUGGUGCUGACCGCCUGGGGAGUACGGUCGCAAGAUUGUGAAACCGUGCCGAAUCUGACGGACUCGCACAAGCGGUGGAUGAUGCUGACACCUGAUGCAACGCGAAAAACCCUUACCUACCCUUGACAUGUCUGGAAUCCCGAAGAGAUUUGGGAGUGCUCGUAAGAGAACCGGAACACAGGUGCCGUACGGCUGUCAGCUCGUGUCGUGAGAUGUUGGGUUAAGUCCCGCAACGAGCGCAACCCUUGUCAUUAGUUGCUACGAAAGGGCACUUUAAUGAGACUGCCGGUGACAAACCGGAGGAAGGUGGGGAUGACGUCAAGUCCUCAUGGCCCUUAUAUGGGUAGCGUCCAUGUUUAACGGGUCACACAAAUGGUCGCAGAGAGGCCGCCAACCCGCAGAGGGAGCCAAUCCCAGAAACCCGAUCGUGGUCCGAUCGCAGUCUGCAACCUGACUGCGUGAAGUCGGAAUCGCUAGUAAUCAUGAUCAGCAUGUCGCGGUGAAUAUCGUCCGGCAGUCUUGUACACACCGCCUGUCACACCAUGGGAGUGGGUUUUACCAGAAGUAGUUAGCCUAACCGGGAAGGAGGGCGAUUACCACGGUAGGAUUCAUGACUGGGGUGAAGUCGUAACAAGGUAG
RNAcentral lists this ribosomal RNA (1475 nucleotides) under uncultured Bordetella sp. RNAcentral describes it as "partial 16S-23S ribosomal RNA intergenic spacer". It matches the Rfam family "Bacterial small subunit ribosomal RNA". The record is from RNAcentral. Lineage: Bacteria; Pseudomonadati; Pseudomonadota; Betaproteobacteria; Burkholderiales; Alcaligenaceae.